AAAAUAAAAUUUGUGCGAGCAUUUUUUUUACGAUUUAAAUAAAUCAAUUUUAUAUCGAAAUUAGAGCAGAUUUGCUAGAAAUAUUUCACUAUAUGUUUCCAAAGAAUGCACAGUGAUAUAUGUGGAAUACAAUUACAAAUUCUUAACUUUUAAUCAAAUUUUUAAAAAUAUAAAAAAAUGUGUGUGUAUGUGUGUGGUUUACCUCUCUACGUCGCUGUAUAUUUCAUACAAAAGAAUAAAUGCCGUGUAAAGUCAUUGGAAUUCAUGCAGAAUUGUUCAGAACGAAGUUCCGGUCUCAGCAGAAAGAGAGAGAGAGAGAGAGAGAGAGAGAGGAGAAACACAUGUAUAUUUCGAGAUAAUAGUGAGAGAAAUACGGCAUGACGUCACCAAUUCGUGAUAACGUUCUAUGCGGCACCGACAUAAUUACGCUGUAAUCUUCCGCGGUUAAUCCCCACGGUUGCACAUUGUGGAUUUGGCGCGGCGGCGGUUUGAUUAAACAAUUUAUAAACCAUUAUAAGCGGACGGCGACAAAACGGCGAAUUUCAUUUUCAUUUAGGAUCACUAAAGCGUUUAUUUGCCUUCCAGUUCGGAAACCCGACUGAAAACGAAUGUUUUGUCGCAAUUGAAUUACCAACUCUCGAUUCGCCUCGCGCGACAAAUACAUUGCGUAAAUAAUUUAUACGAAUUAAUCGCGCCUUCAUUCAUCGUGAGACACGUGCGCGCGAAAUAGGAUCUCGAAUAUUGGAAGUUGCGUCAUCGCCCCAUCGUUCGUGAGAAAUGGUCAAACAACUAACGGAAGCGUCAAAGCGUAAUCAGAAAAAUGUUUUGAUACGAUUGCCACGUGACGAACAGCAGAGCUAUACCUACGUAAAAAAAAAAAUGACAAGAUAUGGCCAAACAAAGAAUACUUUAAAAAAUUGUAUAUAUAUGUUUUAAAUGAUACUGUCGUAAAACUCAAACAGUAAAACUAAUUGAAGACAAAAUUUUACUGAUCUUUUAAAUUUCCUAACAUUUGACUCAAUUUUUUUGAUGAGUCUAUUUUUUUGCUAGCAUUUUAACAACAGAUGUUACGUGCGUUUUAAGAGAUACUAAUAAUGCACAAAAAUUUGCGUUUUAAUAAAAUUAAAACUAAAAAUAAUUAAAAAAUAAAAAAAAAUGAUAAGAUGAGAGAGGAUCGACUCCAAAUCAUUUGCCAAAGAAUAUUUCUUUGCUUUGAACGCAACUGUUUUUAAAAGGCACUUGCCGCGGUUAGUUCUCGCGUUAAUCCCGGCCAAUUAAAGCUCUCUUGGUAAACCAAUUAAUUGUGUAGACAGAACUUUACUACGCUUCAUAAAACGAAAUGACGUGAUACCGUUCGGCAGAGUCACCAUUGCCGCACCGAUGCGCAGCAAAGCGCGUAUCGAGCUAAUAACGUUAUCGCUUCACCGCGGGAUUGUUCGACGAUAAGCUACGCUCUCGCCGAAUUAAAUUUCGCCAACUGAUUAAACAGGACGAGGAAAAAAAAAUAAAUUGAUUUAAACUCGGCAAAGUUGCGAUCGGUGAGUCGAUUUUGGAACAAUAUUCUUGGAAAACAAGUUCAAUCAAAAGGGAAGGUAUCGUUAUAAAAAGGUUCCCUGUUUGAAGUAUACUCUAACGCAAUCGAAAGAUUUGGUGCGACUCAUUUGUUCAAGAAAACUCUCAAAAGAUUAAUUGUUUUUAUCGUUAAAAAUAACUUUCUCAAGCGCUUAAAAAGAUCAAGACUGUUGUUGCGUCAAAUGCUUUAAUUAUAUUUGGAAUGUAUCGUUACAUUUCGAAUUUUGUGCCACGAAUCUUGAACUCGGAGUGCUGACUAGAUAAAUUGCAGACUCAACAUCUGGAAAGUCAAUUAAAAGACGUCAUGUUGUCGCUCAUAUGACGAUCAAUGUGAUAAGCGACGAAGAACGAUCAUAAAAUCUAAUAGUUUGCGAAAUGGACGACCAACAUCGAAUCGCGCAAGUUAAUAUUAUUAAUAACUUCUGUAUAAAGUUAUCAAUACUGUAUCCGUUUAUAUCAUAACGUUCCUGUCUCCGUCGUCGAGACGUCAUUACAUGUCACGUGUAAAAGAUACGCCAAAGAGGAUUUUUGCUGUUGGAGGAAGGCAUCCGUCUUCGCAGUACUGUAAUCUUGACUCAACAUUCGCAAUUUCGACAUCUCCUGCGCGAUUUGCUUCGAAUACGAAAACAUCGGAGUGAGUUCAAAAUAUCUAAUGCUAUUUAUUCCGGGCCGACUAACGGUACAAACAUCGACGAGGUAAAUACCGGCGAAAAACAGUAUAGGAUUCGCCGUUCGAGGCGGAUCGCGCGAAUCCCGCCUCGAUUCGUAUAUGAUUCACUUGCGCGUGAUUUGUUUACCGUGGCAAUUCCAUUUGGUGGAAACGCGAUGCUCGCGACGCUAUUAUCUGAGACACCGAGUCUGCCACGAGCUGUCACGAUUGUCAGCUCGUAAGAGACGCGUCUCGACACCGCUUGUUGCCCACGUCAUUUAUCACGAGAAGCUAUCCCGACUAAAUCUUGGCACGCUCGUCGUAGUAGAGAGCGAAAGAGCGUUCAUUCAUGAAAAGCUCCACUCGAGAGCGUUUCUACAGACCGCAACUGACUGAUAUCCAUCGAUGUUUAGGGAAGUCGUCCGAAGAGAAAACUGUUAUACUCUCUGAUUUGCAUCUCUUGUUUAUGCAAAUCACUCGGACGAGGAGUGGAUUAAGAAAGAUCGAGAGCAUCUCAAGUAUAUAAAAUUGAAUCAUCAAAGAGUAUUGUUUUAAAUACACAAAGUUAUGAUACGAAAUUGAUUAUCUCGAAAAAUAAACAGCUUAGAUCACUUUUAAGUUAGAAAAGAUGAUACAUUCUCUUUAUAUUUUGUAUUCGGCAAAAUAAAUAUAAGAUACGAUAAAGAUGUUUCAUUAAAUACUUAGAGAACGCGUACAAAACUCGUGAUCGCUGCAUAUCGUCUACCUGUUUGCUCCUGUUCCAAAACGACUGAAUGGCUUGUUGACAUGUCGAGGAAAGAGAUCCAUAGGUUCUGCUAGACCUUUGCGGCCGCGACAGUGGCAAGGACGGCAAGGAUGCAUUUCGCCAGUAUCUUCAUCAUAUCAGUGGAAUCAUCUUUAGAUAUCGUAUGUGACGGCAUUAUUAACCGUUGGAGAAGUCUCAUUCCGAAGUUGGUAAAAGUUUUCGAAACGUGCUUUGUUUAUUCCGUUAUUCGGAUGACGCGGAGAAUGAGUAAUCGACAACUCGAGAAUUGCGCGCCGACUAUAAGUACGAACAGCUGAUCGCUAAAUGCAUCAGCUGUCCCAGACUAAACAAAUGUCGAUGAACAAUGUAGUGUUGCAAAUGUGUAUUUACAACGAGAAUAAAUAGUGAUACGAGGAGACGGCACGGUGUAAAUGUUUGCCAGCAUAUUUAUGAGACAAUGAAAAUCUGCCCGAAUAAAGAAGAAGAGAAAGAAGGUAUAGAAGAAGAUUAAUUAAAUUACAGCGUUAUAAGAUAGCAAACUUUUUGUAAUCUUUGUAAAGCAAACUAUUAAAAUUAAAAAUUAUUAAUUAGUUUUAUUUUAGUUAUAAAGUUUUGAUGAAAAAUACAAGCAAUUUUUAAAUUAAGAGAUAGGCAGGCGCGUGAGCCUUUUCUGUUUGAGAAAAAUGUGAUAAUUAAAAUAAUCAAAGAUAUUACUUGCCACAAUAUUAUCUUUUACACACGAAACGGCGUAAUAAUACCGGCUGCUGUACUUCAAGUAAUAGUACAUAUUGAGGAAGUCUCGAUUGAUAACAACAGUAUCAACAAUCCUGUGCAAUGAAAAAUGUACGAUUCAAUAAGCUCGACCUAUUUUCCUCUCUUUAACAACGGGAAUAUACGAGGAAAGAUACAUGCGAAAUGUUGUUUCUCUCGCGUCGGUAAAAUUUAUUUCACUUUCCCUCAAAUAUCCGCAGAAUUUCCAACAAGACAAAGGGAAUUUAAACUCGCUCGCAGCUCGAAAUAGAGCACGUGAUAUCAGCCCGGUGCGUUUCGCGAUUUGUAACUAUUUGAAAUAAAAUGAUCAGUUCCGAAA
Molecule: RNA transcript, 4056 nt
Organism: Wasmannia auropunctata (little fire ant)
Lineage: Eukaryota; Metazoa; Arthropoda; Insecta; Hymenoptera; Formicidae
Exons: 4
Source: RefSeq, a predicted model, not a curated record